Brassica oleracea var. oleracea is the source of this 295-nucleotide long non-coding RNA. RefSeq lists it as uncharacterized. The transcript is spliced from 3 exons. Lineage: Eukaryota; Viridiplantae; Streptophyta; Magnoliopsida; Brassicales; Brassicaceae. The record is from RefSeq and is a predicted model, not a curated record.
CUUCCUUGUGUCUUGCAUGUCUUCGACGACAUGAUUCCGGCUCUUACUCGAGCUCCACUGUCACGCUCCACCUCUUCUGUGAACCGAGGGCACCCUCACGUAUGACGGCCCUAGUACGACCCUGAUGAUUCUGUAUCUUGAUCUGAGUACUCUGCUUUAGCUCGCUCGUUGUGGUUUAGAAAAGCACUUUGAAGAAAUGGUUGGUGACGACAUUCCUAACACCAAACCCGUGACUGGUUGGUGUUGUUUGGUGAACUCCUCCACCUGAACCGAGGACUCUUCUCGAUUCUACUUU